RNAcentral lists this ribosomal RNA (497 nucleotides) under uncultured bacterium. Its description in RNAcentral is "partial 16S ribosomal RNA". It matches the Rfam family "Bacterial small subunit ribosomal RNA", at positions 28 to 507 of the family's 1533-position model. The record is from RNAcentral.
GAUGAACGCUGGCGGCGUGCCUAAUACAUGCAAGUCGAGCGAACGGACGAGAAGCUUGCUUCUCUGAUGUUAGCGGCGGACGGGUGAGUAACACGUGCAUAACCUACCUAUAAGACUGGGAUAACUUCGGGAAACCGGAGCUAAUACCGGAUGAUAUUUUGAACCGCAUGGUUCAAAAGUGAAAGACGGUCUUGCUGUCACUUAUAGAUGGAUCCGCGCUGCAUUAGCUAGUUGGUAAGGUAACGGCUUACCAAGGCAACGAUGCAUAGCCGACCUGAGAGGGUGAUCGGCCACACUGGAACUGAGACACGGUCCAGACUCCUACGGGAGGCAGCAGUAGGGAAUCUUCCGCAAUGGGCGAAAGCCUGACGGAGCAACGCCGCGUGAGUGAUGAAGGUCUUCGGAUCGUAAAACUCUGUUAUUAGGGAAGAACAUAUGUGUAAGUAACUGUGCACAUCUUGACGGUACCUAAUCAGAAAGCCACGGCUAACUACGUG